Lemur catta (Ring-tailed lemur) is the source of this 658-nucleotide long non-coding RNA. RefSeq lists it as uncharacterized. The record is from RefSeq and is a predicted model, not a curated record. Lineage: Eukaryota; Metazoa; Chordata; Mammalia; Primates; Lemuridae. The transcript is spliced from 3 exons.
UGUGCACAGUUGGGUGAGUUGGGGCAUUCUCAGACACGGGGAAACCAUCACCACCAUCAGGGCAGUUCCAAUUCUUGAGACAUUUUCCUUCUUCCUCCCUUAUUUCAGAGACUACUCAUGACCAUUUGCCAAAGGCACACCAGUUCUGUCUGCAGUUUUUCAACCUCAGCACUAAAGACACAGAUCAGCAUUGUAGUGGAACAAUUCGAAAUGACCCUAAAUAAAAAAGCACCAGCAGCUGGCAGGAUGCUUUGCUAUAAGCCAUAAACAUCGAUUGCUCAGCCACUGUAAGAACUGAAGGAUAGCUUCCUGCUUGAAAUGUGGAAAUAUUUGCGUUUAGAUAAAAAGAACUUCCACGAGAACGAUAAGGACAUUCUAAUCCAAGGAAAGAUGGUGGAAUCGGCUUCAUUCUUGAUGCAUCCGAGCCUCUGUCUACAUUCCCCUCCUUCCUGAAUUUAGUGGUGGGGGGGGUCUGCGGUUCUGGCUAACUGGCUUUCCUGAUUAAUUGCACACUGAAAAUGGAAUGUGUUAAACACCGUUUGUAAUAAAACUCAGGUGAAGAAAUUUAAUUCUUCCUUGAUGAUCUAGAAAUGUUCAUAAUUAAGACCAGCAAUUAUGUAAAUGGUUUAAAAAACGUGUGGCUAUUUGAAUGGAUGAC